GAAAUGCGAUAAGUAGUGUGAAUUGCAGAAUUCAGUGAAUCAUCGAAUCUUUGAACGCACAUUGCGCCCCUUGGUAUUCCAUGGGGCAUGCCUGUUCGAGCGUCAUUUGUACCCUCAAGCUCUGCUUGGUGUUGGGUGUUUGUCCCGUCUCCGCGCGUGGACUCGCCCCAAAGUGAUUGGCAGCCGGCGUACUGGUCCCGGAGCGCAGCACAUGUCGCGCAAACGAGUGCCUUGGUACGGCGGCGUCCAUAAGCCCCUCUCUCACGCUCUUGACCUCGGAACAGGUAGGGAUACCCGCUGAACUUAAGC
RNAcentral lists this unclassified non-coding RNA (309 nucleotides) under plant metagenome. RNAcentral's name for it is "partial contains 5.8S ribosomal RNA, internal transcribed spacer 2, and large subunit ribosomal RNA". The stretch from base 1 to 105 matches the Rfam family "5.8S ribosomal RNA", at positions 50 to 154 of the family's 154-position model. The record is from RNAcentral.